Molecule: unclassified non-coding RNA, 872 nt
Filed under: Melitaea cinxia (Glanville fritillary)
Lineage: Eukaryota; Metazoa; Arthropoda; Insecta; Lepidoptera; Nymphalidae
Description: misc RNA ENSMCXG00005001983.1
Source: RNAcentral
CCCGGUUGAUGUCCAGAGCAAAUUGACAAUUGAGGUCAUUGGUAAUGAAUUAAUGAAGAAGAGGUACAGAUUUUAUCACUAUUUAGUUUUAUCCAAACUUAUGUUUGCAAGGUUAUUUGAUUUCUGGUGGUAUACUCGUUAAGCUCAUUAUACUCAUCAUGUUUUUUUAAAUGUAGUAAAAAUGUUAAAGAACCUUCUCUCUACGACUGAGCAACCUUAGUAUUUGUUUAGACUGUAAUUUCUGAAGUGAUGGUUUUUGGGGUUAGCUAUGUAGGCUUAUUUUUAUAUUUCGUUACAUGAGGGUAAGUGUAAAAAUUGAAAUUAAACUACCUUAUUGUUGAACAACUAGUUGGUUUAUUAUUUAAAUCUUUUUCCAACCUGCUUCAAAAUUUGUAUUUGGUCCUAGCCCUAAAGAUUUAUUACUAUUUUCUUUGUCAACGGCACAUUGUAUUCCGAAAUAGCCGGGCAACUUUUUCCGUCAAUGUGUCGGGUGGCAAUAAACAUUGGAUGUCUCUGAGACGUGAGGUCAGUAUUUGCGCAUAUGAAUUAUUAGACGUCACAUCAGUAUUAGAGUUUAUUUUUCUGUCUCUUAUUCGUCACCUCAUUAUGUACGCUACUAUUUUAGAUGGAUCAAUCAUGACCUUCGGGAAAUAGCCGAAAGCGAAAGCGAGUAGCACUAAAUGUCUUGACAAAUCAAAAUACCCUAAGUCAAUGGAGAGAAGCUGAGAUGGAGCGAGACUUCAGUAAUGUAAAGGGUGAAGAUGUGGAUCCAGACUUGGGUUUGCAAAGCGAACAUGACUCUGCUUCAGAACAAUCAGCGGAAGAAGAAUCUCAGGUAUUCCAACCACAAAUAUCACCACUCAAUUCAGUUG